UCCUUUUCCAUUUUCGAUUAUGUAAUCGGUGGGGUGGGGGGACGAUAAGGCCAGCCAUCGUUUCUCCGUUCAUUUUGUCAGUCAUCGACGACCUUGUGUGUCUAUCGCCGUCAUGGGAGUUUGCGUGGUCUACAGCCUUUUUCUUUGGUUCACAUCGUCGGUCCUCUCUUCUUCCUUCCCGUUUGUUGCAGCGAUCAAAAACUUCCUCCUCUUCUCAUUGCUUCUUGUCGCUACUGUAUAGGGUAAGUGAGAAAGAGCUUCAAAUGCUUCCUCCAUGUCUCCUUUACUCUUUGUUUAAAGGCCAAGAGAGAGUUAAGCAAAGAGUAGUCGGACUACUGUCAUAAUGCCUUGUUAUUUUUGUUUUGUGUAAAUGAAUAUGUAUAUUUAUUGUAAGUAGCAAAAUAUGAAUGCACAUACUUUUUGGAUUGCAUUUGUAUGAUUUGCAUCUAUGUGUUGUAUUUUAGCGUGGGAUGUAUGAUGUUGUGAUAAUUGUAGUAAGUGGUUGAAAUACUAGUGCAAGUGCAUGUUUAAUAUUGAUUUGAUAUAAGUAUUUAUGAGUUGCACUUGUAUAGUAUGUGAAUCUUCUAUGAUAUUUUAGCCUAGAGUGAAUGCUUGGUGGAACAUUGUGGUGAAAGGCUAAGAUACAGGUACAGGUACAUGUCAACAAAUGUCAACAUAUAAUACUCCCUUCCAUCCUUAUUAUAAAAAACUUUUAAUUAUUUCACGCAUUGUAAAAAAGUUAAUUUUUUUUAUAUCAUAAAAAAGUGAGAUAUACUUUUAUUUUUAACUUUAGCUUUAAAUGAUAAUAUAACUACAUUAAAUACCUUUAUGUUAAUCAAGAAGGAAUAAAAUUGAAAAAAGAUGAUGUAAUUAUUAAAAGGUGUCCUAUAUGUUGGAUUAAAAAUUACUCCUAAAAAGUAUCUUAUAAAUAGAACCGGAGGGGGUAUGUGAUAAGAUAUAAUGAUUUGGCCAAGUAAUGAAUUAUAUGAUGAAUUUCACAAAUUACCCAAUUUUAUGUGUAGUUGAGGGUCUUGUGUAGCCAAAUUUUGAAUGUGAUGUGCUAUUAUGUAUUUGAUUAUUCAAUCAAGUAUUUUCACUCCAUUAGUCUUGGUUUGAGCCCUACCUUAGGUUAAUAGCAUAAUAUUUUGGGUGUGGACUCUUGGAUGCAGGAAAAUGGUUUUAAAAUUGAUGUUCGAUAUUUAAGUGUUCAAUUUUCAAAUGUGAUAACAAAUUGAAAUGAAACUUAUCUCAUUAGUUAGAUUAUUGAAUGAACUUCAUGUGGGUACUUGAAUUACUUCAAUUGAAUGUUGGAUAUAAAAAUGAUGUUCACUCGAUGAGUUAUCAUGAUAGUUUUAUAUGUAUUGCGACGCAUGGUAUAAAGCUGGAGGUUGGCUUCCUAUGCCACAUGUUAAGCCAUAUAGGACACAAGCCACGACAAACAUGCGAAAAUGGGUGGAAAUGAUUUUUUUGCCCUUGUUUUCUAUGUGUUUCAUUUCUAUAUAAUUCCAUGAUUUUGAUACAUUUAAAAACUUAUUAAUUUGAGCUCAAAUUAGCAAUUUGAAGGGUUUUGGAAUCUUAAAUAUUUUGAAGCUUUAUAAACUUGUUUCUGAACCUUUAUUGUUUGAGGUAAGCUUGGGAGUUUAAUAGCUUCUAAUUAGCAUCGUGUGAUGAAAUUGUAGUUAUAUGUUGAUAAUUUCAAAAUAGACAUUACACUUCAAUCCUAAAUAAAUUGAUACUAUCCUUAAUAUCACAUUAAAAAAAAACAGUGUAUACAAAAAAAUAAUUGUCGGCAAAUUAUAAAAAAAAAUUUAAAAAUAAUGCACCAUCAUAUGAAAUCUGUAUAGCACUUAAAUAGUGAUGAGAUUUCAAAUUAACAACGGAGUGAGAUAUUAAGGGAAAAAAAUAUAUACAUAUUUUUACCAACAAGGAUAGUACAUACAUUGAGAAAAUAUUAUAUACAUAUGUAUUAUUUGGUACAAACACAUCUAACAUAAGGGAUCUAAGUGCGAACAUGUCUUAAUAAGAACAAUAGUACAAUAAUCACCUCUAUGCCUAUAUGACAAAAACUCCUAGUUAAUCUUCAUGAUUGAGCCCAUUUCUCUCUUCAAUUCUCUUCAAUAAUUGCUGGAGGCAAGAUGCAACAUUUUUGGUUUCUGUUAACAUAUCACCAAGCCCAACUUUUGAGCCAUAAGUAUAUCUACGUGCAAUCUUUGAACCGUGAGAUUUGUUUUGAUUCAAUCAUCUAAACUCUCCUUUUCUGUAUAUAAAAACAGAAAAAAGGACAAAAUGUGAUUCACUAGUAAUUGCUCAUGAAUUACAAGUAUCUUUCCACCACUGGCGGCUAAUAGGAGAGACUCAAGGACAUUUGAUUAGCUGAAAACAUGAUGUUUCCUGCUUUUCCCCCCGCCCUUGUUUUGCAGAACAAAAGGUAACAAAACAUCAAAAAGAUGUUCUGGUUGUCUAAUUCUUCAAAACAACUUCUAAUUUUUUUUUUUAUUUUUCAAAACAGAUAACAGGAAACACAUUUUCAAACUUAAGGAAGAAGGGAUAUAUUAUGAUCCAAAAGAGAAAUUUUUAAGUAAACUCAAGUUAUAACAAAUUUGACAAGUUAGAAUAUGUAAGGCUGCCCUAAAAGUAAGCAUAUAUUCAUCAGUAUUGAUGGAGUCUACUGAUUAUUUACAGAACAAGUUUGCCUAAGAAUUUCUCAUGAUUGAAGAACAAAAACUCUGCCAUCAAGUCACUUGCCACCAAAAGAAGGGAAGUAAUAUCUAGUAGGGUCAGAUCAGACAUUUCCUAGUAAAAGUUCUGUCUAACAGAGAAGUUAGCGUUGUCGUAAUACUAACCUUGAAACUAAGUCAAGUUCUGUUGAAGAAUGAGGAAAACAUUUGUGGGUUGUAGUAAUACAAGCGACACAAUGAUUUGUGCGUUAUCUCGAUGAAAAUUCCUUCUCAAUCACACCGAAGGUCAACUUCAAACGUUCUUGCAGACCUCUCAAGACGCUCUUUGAAAUCUUUUUAUGAUGCUUUGAACUUUUUAGCCAUUCAAUUCCAAAGUAAACAUGUACUCUGCAAGUCUUUUUUGCAGGUAAAUCUUCAACUUGGUAACGAAGAUGUAGCUGUGAAAAUUUAGAUAUCAGGAAGGUAGAUAUGCAUAGAAAAUGAUGAAAAGAAACAAAAGUUGGCCUACUCACAUUGAAGUAUUCACCAAGAGGAACGCCAUGAAGAUUCAUAACCUCUUCCAAAAGCCAACCUUUUCCAUCUGGAAGACUAGAUCGUUGUUGAGUACUUGUUACCUCACCUUUGAAACGUGUAUUACUUUUAUCAAAUUUGUAAUAUAGUGCCCUUUCAUAGUUGUCAUUAUUCUCUGACA
This is a long non-coding RNA of Prosopis cineraria, 3369 nucleotides long. RefSeq lists it as uncharacterized. The record is from RefSeq and is a predicted model, not a curated record. NCBI's taxonomy places the organism in Eukaryota, Viridiplantae, Streptophyta, Magnoliopsida, Fabales, Fabaceae. The transcript has 2 exons.